AACGAACGCUGGCGGCGCGCCUAAUACAUGCAAGUCGAGCGAGAAGGUGUAGCAAUACACUUGUAAAGCGGCGAACGGGUGAGGAAUGCAUGGGUAACCUACCCUCGAGUGGGGAAUAACUAGCCGAAAGGUUAGCUAAUACCGCAUACGUUUCCGGAACUUCGGUUUCGGAAAGAAAGCAAUACCGUGGGUAUUGCGCUCCUGGAUGGGCUCAUGUCCUAUCAGCUUGUUGGUGAGGUAACGGCUCACCAAGGCUUCGACGGGUAGCUGGUCUGAGAGGACGAUCAGCCACACUGGCACUGCGACACGGGCCAGACUCCUACGGGAGGCAGCAGUAAGGAAUAUUGCGCAAUGGACGAAAGUCUGACGCAGCGACGCCGCGUGGGGGAUGAAGGUCUUCGGAUUGUAAACCCCUUUCGGGAGGGAAGAUGGAGUGGGUAACCACUUGGACGGUACCUCCAGAAGCAGCCACGGCUAACUUCGUGCCAGCAGCCGC
Molecule: ribosomal RNA, 496 nt
Filed under: uncultured bacterium
Lineage: Bacteria
Description: bacterial SSU rRNA
Rfam family: Bacterial small subunit ribosomal RNA
Source: RNAcentral